Long non-coding RNA from Microplitis demolitor, 374 nucleotides. RefSeq lists it as uncharacterized. The transcript has 3 exons. The record is from RefSeq and is a predicted model, not a curated record. NCBI's taxonomy places the organism in Eukaryota, Metazoa, Arthropoda, Insecta, Hymenoptera, Braconidae.
UUUGUGUAUAAAGUGUUUUGAAUAUGAAUGAACAAAGUGCAUUUAUUAUUAAUGAAGAAAGUCACGAAAAAAUAGUGAAAGAAAAUGAAGAAGAAAAGCGUAAAGAGCUAAAAAGAAAAAAACUAAUGCACGUCAAAGGGCAUAUUAUCAGCGUCAGAAAGAUUUGAAGAAAAAUGAAGAAAUAAUAAAAACAGUAACAAAAUCAAAUGCUGAACGUCAAAGGAAAUUUCGUCAACAUAAUGCAGAAAAAUCUUACAUGGAUAUAAAAAGACGAAAAUUGUGCAGUAAUGAAGUUUCAAUGAUAAAUAUUCUUGAAUAACCAACAGCUACUGUAAGAUAAUAAAACCCACAUGUAUUGUAAAAUAAUAAAAAUA